UACGUAGGGUGCGAGCGUUGUCCGGAAUUAUUGGGCGUAAAGAGCUUGUAGGCGGUUUGUCGCGUCUGCCGUGAAAAUUCGAGGCUCAACCUCGAACUUGCGGUGGGUACGGGCAGACUAGAGUGUGGAAGGGGAGACUGGAAUUCCUGGUGUAGCGGUGAAAUGCGCAGAUAUCAGGAGGAACACCGAUGGCGAAGGCAGGUCUCUGGGCCACUACUGACGCUGAGGAGCGAAAGCAUGGGGAGCGAACAGG
RNAcentral lists this ribosomal RNA (253 nucleotides) under uncultured bacterium. Its description in RNAcentral is "partial 16S ribosomal RNA". It matches the Rfam family "Bacterial small subunit ribosomal RNA", at positions 524 to 776 of the family's 1533-position model. The record is from RNAcentral.